Long non-coding RNA from Notolabrus celidotus (New Zealand spotty), 448 nucleotides. RefSeq lists it as uncharacterized. The transcript has 4 exons. The record is from RefSeq and is a predicted model, not a curated record. Lineage: Eukaryota; Metazoa; Chordata; Actinopteri; Labriformes; Labridae.
AGGAAGCAGGCAGAGUUGUAACGUGUUAUCAUGAAAAAUAAUCACAGAGGACGGCACAGAAGUGGGUCGUUCGGAUUCAGAGUGGAGGAGGAGGAAAACACUUGACAUGUUUUCUGAGUCAGAGAUUUAAUCCUCCAUGUCUCCUCUGUACCUCUUACAGCCACCAUGACGGCAUGCUCUACACAGAACAUCAGCAUUGGGACACAGAGGACAUGUGUGUGGGUGGAGCACAGAGCUCAAGGAAAGGGCUGUCAUAUAUAAAGGUCCGAAUCAUGCCUUGAUGCUGAUCUUCAAUCAGAUUUAAGCACCAUCCAGGUCCAACAACACAUUCUAAUCCAGCAGCAGUUAAUGAUAAGCCUGUGUCGGAGCGUGGGUGUGCAUCUCUUGUUUAGUAUUGUUGUUAUCAAUAUACCCAAGUGCAUCUAAUGGGGUCAAAAGCUCUGAAUGA